Long non-coding RNA from Panicum hallii, 1282 nucleotides. RefSeq lists it as uncharacterized. NCBI's taxonomy places the organism in Eukaryota, Viridiplantae, Streptophyta, Magnoliopsida, Poales, Poaceae. The transcript is spliced from 6 exons. The record is from RefSeq and is a predicted model, not a curated record.
CACUGCAGGAGGGGCGUGCGCUCCCUCCUCUCUCUUCUGUGUGGCGACGCACCGCUCCCGUAUCCCUCUCCGUGCUGAUGCCGAGGCUAUCUCAUCGAAGCAGUUGAAGGAGGUCGUGCCAUCCCGUCGGCGCCUACCGGCCCUCGCUCCAGUCCUGCGACGGUUGCCAAGAUAAGUACCUCCCCUCCCUCCAGUGCCUCAUCCAUCUCGCCUCAACCCCAAACCCUAGCAACAACUUUGAUUUGCUCUCUUCUUCCCUCUGGUUCCUCCGCCUUCCCAGACCAGAACGUGGAGAUUUGUGAGCUCCUUAUCUUUUUUGUGCUUUCGUUCCUCUCUCCUACCCUGUGAUGUUUUUGUUUCCAAUUUUGUCUUGGCCUAAACUGCAACUUUUUCAUUUUUGCCUUGGCCUAAUCUGCAACUUUUUGAUGUGCCUGACUGUACUGUAGGCAACCUACCCUGGCACUGGCGUCAGGUGACCUGAGAGGGUGAGGGUUAAAUCGCAGCAACAGGAUUUAAGCCUUUUAAGGUUCAGUUGAGCAGCGGCAGAAAAAGAUGAUCCCUUACUGAAUCAGAUCACUCCAACCAAGGAAACAGAGAUUGCUUUAGUACCAAUAAAGCAAAGUACAAGGUCCGUCAAUGCUCCAGAUAUCCUUACUCAAACUGCAGUUGCAACGUCAACAGAUACACCACAUAAGAAUGAUGAUACCAUUUUGGCUAAGUAUACUGCUAAUCCUAAAGAAUCUAAGGAUGGAGCUGCUGAUUCUGCAACUAAGAUAGGAAAGACAAUCACAAGGAAAAGGUCCCGCCCCUCACCUAACAAGAAAACCGCCAGAAAACUGCUGCUUGAUCAGGACAAUGAAAAUGAAGAUGAUGGCUGUGUGUGUGUCCAUGACACUCCCAAGCCUAGUUCCAGUGCCGAUGCUUAGAAGGAAGAAGCGGAUCAGCUCAUUUUGUGUUUACACAGUUGCAGCCAUGCCUAGACCUAUAUGUGAUGACUUGCUGCUUCAUGCCAUAUGUUCAGCUGUUUUAUAACCUGAUGCUCUCAGCAUCAAUUAACUAUCUUUUGGAUACUCUUAUGGCUGCAAACUGUGUUAUUUUCUACUUAAUAUAUUAGUACUCCCUUUUAUUUGGAUCAGUAUUCCGAGCUACCUGCUAAAAUGUUCGGUAGCUACUAAUGCUGAUCUUCGAAUGUAAUAUAUGGCUUGACAGAACCUAUGGGCUGCAGAUGCCAUUCAGUCAGUGGUAAUGCUAACGCUGCUGUUAAGAAAUUUGCAUGAGACAA